AGAAUCAACGCUGGCGGCGUGCCUAACACAUGCAAGUCGCACGAGAAAGGGUAGCAAUACCUGAGUAAAGUGGCGCACGGGUGAGUAACACGUGAAUUAUCUACCUCCGAGUGGGGAAUAACUGAGAGAAAUCUUAGCUAAUACCGCAUAACACUUACGAGUCAAAGCAGCAAUGCGCUUGGAGAGGAGUUCGCGGCCGAUUAGUUAGUUGGCGGGGUAAUGGCCCACCAAGACGAUGAUCGGUAUCCGGCCUGAGAGGGGCGCGACGGAACGACGACUGGAACGUGAAACACGGUCCAGACUCCUACGGGAGGCAGCAGUGGGGAAUUUUGCGCAAUGGGGGAAACCCUGACGCAGCAACGCCGCGUGGAGGAUGAAAUAUCUUGGUAUGUAAACUCCUUUCGAUGGGGAAGAUUAUGACGGUACCCAUAGAAGAAGCCCGGCUAACUUCGUGCCAGCAGCCGC
Molecule: ribosomal RNA, 465 nt
Filed under: uncultured bacterium
Lineage: Bacteria
Description: SSU rRNA
Rfam family: Bacterial small subunit ribosomal RNA
Source: RNAcentral